RNAcentral lists this ribosomal RNA (253 nucleotides) under uncultured bacterium. RNAcentral's name for it is "partial 16S ribosomal RNA". It matches the Rfam family "Bacterial small subunit ribosomal RNA", at positions 524 to 776 of the family's 1533-position model. The record is from RNAcentral.
UACAGAGGGUGCGAGCGUUAAUCGGAAUUACUGGGCGUAAAGGGCGCGUAGGCGGUUAGAUGUGUGUGAUGGGAAAGCCCCGGGCUUAACCUGGGAAGUGCAUCGCAAACUGUCUGACUGGAGUAUAUGAGAGGGUGGCGGAAUUUCCGGUGUAGCGGUGAAAUGCGUAGAGAUCGGAAGGAACGUCGAUGGCGAAGGCAGCCACCUGGCAUAAUACUGACGCUGAGGCGCGAAAGCUAGGGGAGCGAACAGG